AACGGGGAUGUUAGCUUGCUAAUAUCUGCCGGCGACCGGCGCACGGGUGAGUAACGCGUAUGCGACCUGCCCGUCACAGGGGGGAUAAUCCGGAGAAAUCCGGUCUAAUACCGCAUGAUAUCGUGAAGCUGCAUGGCUUUGCGAUUAAAGGAGCGAUCCGGUGACGGAUGGGCAUGCGUGACAUUAGCUAGUCGGCGGGGUAACGGCCCACCGAGGCGACGAUGUCUAGGGGUUCUGAGAGGAAGGUCCCCCACACUGGUACUGAGACACGGACCAGACUCCUACGGGAGGCAGCAGUGAGGAAUAUUGGUCAAUGGGCUUACGCCUGAACCAGCCAAGUCGCGUGAGGGAAGACUGCCCUAUGGGUUGUAAACCUCUUUUGUCAGGGAGCAAUUGGCGCUACGUGUAGCGUUAUCGAGAGUACCUGAAGAAAAAGCAUCGGCUAACUCCGUGCCAGCAGCCGCGGUAAUACGGAGGAUGCGAGCGUUAUCCGGAUUUAUUGGGUUUAAAGGGUGCGUAGGCGGAAUGCCAAGUCAGCGGUAAAAUCGCGGGGCUCAACCUCGCUCCGCCGUUGAAACUGGCGUUCUUGAGUGGGCGAGAAGUAUGCGGAAUGCGUGGUGUAGCGGUGAAAUGCAUAGAUAUCACGCAGAACUCCGAUUGCGAAGGCAGCAUACCGGCGCCCAACUGACGCUGAAGCACGAAAGCGUGGGUAUCGAACA
Molecule: ribosomal RNA, 719 nt
Filed under: uncultured bacterium
Lineage: Bacteria
Description: bacterial SSU rRNA
Rfam family: Bacterial small subunit ribosomal RNA
Source: RNAcentral